Molecule: long non-coding RNA, 1029 nt
Filed under: Cyanistes caeruleus (blue tit)
Lineage: Eukaryota; Metazoa; Chordata; Aves; Passeriformes; Paridae
Description: lncRNA (ENSCCEG00000017806.1)
Source: RNAcentral
CACCCCAGAAUUCCCUGCCUCCGUGCAUGUUAUGGCACCUUUGGGAUGUGUUAGUCAUAAGAAUGAAGCUACUGGUGCUUUGCAGGGAUAUUUUCACUCUGGCUCUCGCAGGAGAGCUCUGACACAGCCCUGCUGUCGGCACGGCUGGGGCGCCUUUGCUCGCUGGUGCCUCCUGAGAUUCCAGACCGCUCCAAAAAAAAAGGGGGAAACGUCCAAUUUUUAUUUCCUCAGGGAACACCAAGAAAAUUUUUCUUUCCGAGCCUGUCUCCUGAAACGAGCUCCAGGAGUGGUCACAACCUGCCAUAAAAAUGCCAUGUGCAAGAGAAUAUAUUUAAUAUCAGGCAAGCAGAAUGGAACGAUACGAUCUGUUUGGGGUUCGAAGGCAAAGGAGGAUCUGCUCCUUCACCAUCUGUGCAGCCGCUGGCAGGGGCAGCUCCCCAGUGACACCAAAGGAAUUCCCCGAGCCCAAAAACGCCCCAGGCAUCGCCUUUGUGAAGGACAGAACUUCACAAAGUCCAUCCCACUGACGGAUGACAGAGUGCCCUGUGGUUCCAGAGCUGGACCUGAUCUGGACACCCAGCAGCAACACCAAGGUGAAAGGAUUCCCACAAAUCCCAAUUUUCCUCUGGAUUUCCUUUGGAAUUUAAGAAUUUAGAUAAAAGGAGAGAGAGAGGAAAAUCAAAAAAGAAAAGAGGAAUAUUAAAAUGACCUGAAAAGCGUCGCUGCCAGUUUGUAAUGUGAACCUGAAGCUGUAAAAUGAUGACAAGUAUGUGAAAUUGGGAGAUGCUGGCUGACAUUUCAAGAGUACAAACAUCCCCAGCUUCAUCCAGAUUGCAAAAUAUCGAUGAUUUCAAAUGGAAAAAUCCAAUGGGCCAAACACUGGUUCCACUUUUCUAUUUUAGGAACACCUAAAAUGUGGUUUUUGUUGUUUUCUAAGAGGAUCUGAGCAGAUCCUGGAAGUGAAAUGACUCAAGUUUAACGUGGAGGAUUAGGAGAAACAAAACCAAACCAAACUAAUAAAAUUAAAAC